UUUUUUUUUUUUUGUCUUUUUAGGGCUGCAUUGGUGACAUAUAGAGGUUCCCAGGCUAGGGGUCUAAUUAGAACUGCAGCUUCCAGCCGAUGCCACAACCACAGCAACGCAGGAUCCAAGCUGCAUCUGAGGCCUAUGUACACCACAGCUCACGGCAAUGCCAGAUCCUUAACCCACUGAGCGAGGUCAGGGGUCAAACCUGUGUCCUCAUGUUCCUUAGCUGCUGAGCCAUGAUGGGAGCUCUAAUUUUUUCCCCGUGUAAUGAGAACCUUUAAGGUCUAGUCUUCUAGCGACAUUCAGAUGUGCAGUACAGUAUUAUCAACUAUAAUCACCAUGACUUGUUUUAUAACUGGAAGUUCGUACCUUUUGAGCCCCUUCACCCAUUUAUCCACCUUGAGGCGGGGCAGUGUGGUAAGGAUGUGCCUUUCCUCAUUGAGCAAGGAGCCGCUUUCAGCUCUUGCUUUGGGGACCAUCCUGGCUGCAGCUAUAGUUCUGCCCUUGGCUGUGGGAAUAGCUUUCUUGCUCUCUGCCAGGCACACAGAAGAGUAGGGUGUGUGUGUGUGUGUGUGUGUGUGGACUGGAAAGCUGAAGCUGAGGAAUAGAAUGACAAGAUCCCUGGAGUGAAAGGCUCGGCCUUGCUUCCCCCGAUCUUGACCUGUCUGGCCUGGAGACCCUAGUAGGCACAAGGUGACUGGCUGUGUUUGUCCUUCCUGUGUCCUCCAGGCUGAUGUUCCAGUGAGGAGCGAGGCUCCCCAAUAUCCUUCCUCCGCUGUACCCCUCUCAUGGGGCCAGAGAGACCCUGUAUUGAGUUAUGCACGAAGCAUAUAUACUAUAAAUGUAUGUGUGUAUGGGAGGAAGGAAUUUUGGCUUGAAAACAUUUUUUUAUUGGCAAAGAUAGCACUUCUCCUAAAGGAGAUGGCAGAAUUUGCCAAACUAAGCCUCCAGAAGAAAAUAUAACAGAGAGUGUGAAAGAAAUCCAUGUUCAAACAUUGGCAAGUGUGAAACACUCAAGAAUUCUUGUGUGAACAUCUUAUUGUCAGAGCAAAAUUAAAUUAAGCUGGUCUCUGGCAAGUGUUCAGAUGAACACAGAAUGGGAGCAAGCUGAUGGAGAUUGCUCUGACAUUUGUGCAAGAAGCCAGACAGAGCAUAGUCGGCGAAACCAGGAAGCCUGAGAGUUGAGUUCUUCAGUUAAUUAAGGCCCAAGAACUUAAGUUCUUUGUGUUCCAAGUAACUGCCCAAGGAAAAACUGGAAUUUUCUUCCCUCCACAACUCAAUCGCAGGCAGAGAAGGAAUGAAGUUCAUUGCCAAAUAUUUAUCGAGCAUCCCUGUGAUCCAUGCUGAGCAAACUGUUGUGCUAGGCAUUGAAGGGGAAGGUCCCGCCUCCUUGAUACAGCUGAUAGGUUACAGAUGGGAAGGCAGCUCACUAGAGUCAAAGGCAAUGUGAAACAAACGCCCAUGGGGCUGUAAGCAGAGUGCCAGGGGAUGCGGGGUUCAGAGGGAUACGUUCUGAUAGAGUCACCUUUGUGAGGUCAGGCUGUGGUUGGGGAAUACUUUACAGAAAAGAAGCAGGCUUUUAAGCUGAGUCUUGAAACAGGUAGAAUUUGUAGAGGGGAAGGCAAAGAGGGUGGAUUUUAUAGCCUGGACGUCACAGGAAUACCAGGAUGCAAGCAAUGAACCAGGGACCCCCCCCCCCCCAUACACCUCUUUCUCCCUCCUUGGAUCCUCUUCUGUGGUGGGGUCGGGGGAGGGGGGGUCUUUGCUGAGGGGCCAGACAUGCCUGAACACCAUGAGGAAGGCUGCAGCCUGGCGAUGGUCUCCUGUGGGGCAAGCCCCUUUCCUUCGUGAUGACUCAGCCGUACCCUGCUCUCCUCCGUGCUUUGGUGGAUUGGCAGAUCCUGGGGUUGGGCAGUGCCGCUCUGUCUUCUCUUCUGAGACUUGUCAGCCCGUGGUUGCCGUGUUACAGUAUGGCAGUGCUUGGAGCAGGUGGGCAGUCCUUCCCUCCAUCCUCCUUCCUUCUCUGCAGGCACAGGGGUUCACCUUCAUGGCGGCCACUUCCUCAAAUUUGAGAAGCAAGACUGGACUCAAGUUCUCCCCAUUCUGUCCCACACCUUGCAUUUUGGGUGGUCAACAUUGCCUCAUAGCUCCUCUCUCCCUGGAUUUUUAUAGCAGCAUCCUCAGGCUGAGGGCUCUCUUCUCUCCGCCACUGCUCAUGUCCUCAGGGAGUGCUUCUCCUAGGAGCCUCAGGCUGCAGCUCUUUAGCACUCGGUUUACUCCCCAGCGGGCACUGAGCUAGCUGGGCUGUGAUGGGAAGCACCAGCUGAGGACAGCUUGCUCAGAGCCGUCACUGCUCCCCACUGGGCAUCAGCCACUCUCAUUACUGGUGGCACACCUGAGCACCUGCCCGUGUCUCCGGAUCCCGGCCAGGUGCUCCAGGAGCCUGCACAAUAUUUGCGUUACUGGUGUCGGUAAUUGUCCAACGUUAGGAGCUCUGUAAAUGUUGCCUGAUGAGGCUGAAGUUCUUCUGGGCAUUUACCCGAGUAGUUCACAGUGGACUAUCUUUCUUGGCACCUUAAAGUGAUCCAGAACAGUUUGUCUGAGGAAGUAAAAUUGCUUACUGGAUGCUAAACUUUUUGUCUGGAAAAACUUUGAACCCAUGGAUGUCUUUGGGAAGAGUUGACGUCUUUACCAUUCAUGUGGUUAUUUGUUUUCACGUUCUGGCCUUCUAUAAAGCAUUAUAGUUUUUCAUAGGGCUUGACUUACAUAUUUUGUGUAUUGCUGUUAUUGUGAAUUAGGUAAUUUUUCAUUGUUGUCCAAUUUUGUAUGUAUGUGUAUAUAUUUAUCAUAAUAUUUUGUAUGUAUGUGUAUAUAUAUUUAUGAUAAUAUAUAAAAACAUAAAAGCUGUUGCAUUUUGAUUUGUUUUGAUUUUCUGUUUUUGUUCAUAUAUGUGUUUUAUUUUCAAAUAGUUACACAUUGGAAAGAAAUUUUAUUUCUUUCUACUUACUGUGCACCUGCUUUGUUUCAUAUCUUCUUGUCCUGGAUAGAAAUUAUAAAUAUGUACACACAUAUAUGUAUAUACGCAUUUAUAUAUAGAUUUUAAAUAUGGAUGUAACCAAUGUCUUUGUGUGUCCAUUAUUUAUUUGUCUGUUGAUUUUUAUAAGGGCACCUAUAGCAUUUCAUUUUUAAUUAAAAUAUUCACAUGGAUCUAAGAAAUAUUAUUAUUAUUUGGAAUGAUAAGGUGGUAUCCUAUUCUUAGUUUUUUAAGUACUUUUUCAAAAUUAAGGAAUAGUUCUUAAAUGUUUGAUAUCAAUUGAAAAAACUGUCAUUUUUCUCCCAUGUCCUUGAAGUGAUAUCCUAAUAUAAAUUGAUUUUUGAAUAUUUAACCACUUACACAUGUGCAAAUCAGCCACAGUGAGUCAUUUAUUAUUUUUAUUGUGUUGCUGCACUAGAUUUAUUGUUUUGUUUAGAUUUUUUGUAUCCAUAUUAUAAGUGAGUUUGAUCUGUAGAUUUCUAUUUUGUGUUCUCUUUGGUAGGUUGUAGAAUCUAGGUUACGGUAGUCAUGAAAUGAAUGGAAAAGUUUAUCAUAUUUUUCUACGGGACUGUAUAUAGCACAAGUAAUAUUUAUUUGAAAAAAAAGUAUAUAAUUUGCUUGUAAAACUAGCUGAUCAAUCAGAGCUAUUUGGGGAGCCAGUUCUCUGAUACUAGUGUCCAUUUCUUUCAUGAUUUCCUGUCUCUUAAAAUGUCCCACUUCUUAAUUCAAUAUAUAUCAUCCUCCUAAACCAUCCAUAUCAGACUUAUUAGCAGAGUUACCCAUAGCUUUCAUGUAAUAAAAUAACUUCUUAUCUCUCUUGCCAGCCAUUUCCACUUUUGCAUGUUUGUACUAACUUUUUUUUUCCAAUUAGACUUCUGAGAAAUCUAUGCACUUUAUUGUUUUAGACACCAUGUGGUUGGUUUUUCAGUUUCAAACUCUAUAUAACGUGUUAGUUACAUGGCACUAUGACAAAGCUUGUGGAAUUGAAAGCUUGUGGAAUGUGAAUUAAGUGCUCCUAGGACUUAAUAUCAAUUGAUUCACAUUCAUUUCUUUAGCAGGAGGCAACUUUGGGGGUUAGUUAGAAUCAGACAUAAGGAGGCCAUAAGUAGCUCUACUUGGCAAGGCAGAGGGAAUCAGCAGCCGGUAGAGCCAUAGCAGGAAUAGUAAGGAGAAGAGAAUGUGCAUCCAGGGAAAGGAUGAAGCAGUGGACACUGGGACAAGUCUCAGGGUGAACAGGGUGGUUGAGUUCCUGCAGGUGGUGUGUCUUCUUCUUCCUCUUUCCUGACUCCUUACUCUCACACUUUUCAAGUCUCCUUAAGUUUAGAAUCUAACCUAUGUUCUCUCCCUUCAUCCUUUACUCCCUCUUUAGGCUUGAACUUUGUCUCCAGCUUGGGUUUUUGGAGGCCAUUGCUAAUCUUUGCUUCAGAACAGGAAGCUUGCCUCAAUUUGAUAAAUUUGCUCCAUUUUUAUGUCCAUGUUAUUCCACAAAAAUAGAUUUUUUUCGUAAAAAUGAGAGAAUUGUCAACUUACCCCAUAAAAUUCAUUGAAGAACAUUAAAAAAAAAAGCUUAAAUAGUGGCGGGAGACACUUGGAAUUCCCAUCGUGGCGCAGCAGAAAUGAAUCCGAUUAGGAACCAUGAGGUUGUGGGUUCGAUCCCUGGCCUUGCUCAGUGGAUUAAGGAUCCAGUGUUGCCAUGAGCUGUGGUGUAGGUUGCAGAUGUGGCUCAGAUCUGGUGUUGCUGAGGCUGUGGUGUAGGCUGGCAACUAUAGCUCUGAUUGGACCCUCUAGCCUGGGAACCUCCAUAUGCCACGGGGGCGGCCCUAAAAAGAAAAAAAAAAAAAAAAAAAAAAA
RNAcentral lists this long non-coding RNA (4879 nucleotides) under Sus scrofa (pig). RNAcentral's name for it is "lncRNA (ENSSSCG00005012608.1)". Lineage: Eukaryota; Metazoa; Chordata; Mammalia; Artiodactyla; Suidae. The record is from RNAcentral.